UCUGUGUCAAGAGUUUGCCCUGCAAACGGCAACAGCUCCAAGAAUCUGUCGGUGUACUCCUCUACACUCAUUUCCUCUGUCUGCCUUAACUGUUCAAACUCAAUCAUCUUCAAUUCUCUUGAACUGUCAGGAAAAGCCCAUCCUGCAAAUUCAUUUGCAAACUCCUCCCACGAUAGGCUGUUCAACCUCGGGCUCACAUAGUUCUUAAACCACUCACGGGCCUUUUUGCAUUUUAAUGUGAACCCAGCCAUCUGAAUGGCUCUACUGUCAUCUGCCCCUAUCUCAUCUGUAAUUGUUUUGACCCUCUCAAGGUACACAAACGGG
This 324-nucleotide long non-coding RNA is filed under the name Manihot esculenta (cassava). Its description in RNAcentral is "long non-coding RNA (MESC_LNC011181)". The record is from RNAcentral. Lineage: Eukaryota; Viridiplantae; Streptophyta; Magnoliopsida; Malpighiales; Euphorbiaceae.